CUAACACACACCAGUGUAUGUCAAACAUAAGUACAGAAUUUUAUUUAAAUUUUGAACUGCAACUUCGCGGUGGUAGAGCUGCAUCUAUCUCUCGCCUACGCUUGUGGGGUUAGACAGUUCUGGAAUGUGCGCAGAGGAGUGGAGUCACAUGGUGAUUAUGAGCCAUUCCUUACAUCCCUUUAAACUUUGGAGCCUAAGAAGUCAAUAGUUUGGUUAUACGUCUGAGUUUGGUUGUACGGAGUUUGGAAGACAAGAAGAGGUCUCCCUAUACAGUCCCCACUUUGAAAUUCCCGUUUGUAGUCUCCAGACCUCAAAAGUCAGUGGUCUCACAGAAGAGCCCAGGAGUCAUUGGUUUCCCGCUUUUGGCCCAAGCUCCCGGCGUAACGAAUGCUAACGCAGAACCCUCCGCCGACAGCCGCUGCGUCCCGUCCCCCGCUGGUCUAGUCGCCCGCCGCCAACCCCGGGGGCGGGCGCUGCGCCAGGGCUUCGGGACCCAGUGCCAGACCCAGAGCGCCGCCGGGCACCCGAGGGUGACAGCAGGAGAGAAGGUGGUGUUGUUGACAGAAACAUUGUAAGCAGAGAAGGUGAAUCAAUCCAUG
RNAcentral lists this long non-coding RNA (599 nucleotides) under Canis lupus familiaris (dog). Its description in RNAcentral is "lncRNA (ENSCAFG00030015657.1)". The record is from RNAcentral. Lineage: Eukaryota; Metazoa; Chordata; Mammalia; Carnivora; Canidae.